RNAcentral lists this long non-coding RNA (13970 nucleotides) under Nicotiana tabacum (common tobacco). RNAcentral's name for it is "long non-coding RNA (NTAB_LNC010159)". The record is from RNAcentral. Lineage: Eukaryota; Viridiplantae; Streptophyta; Magnoliopsida; Solanales; Solanaceae.
CUUACUCGGCUGCCUCACCCCCACCCCCUUUCCUCUUCUUCACUCUGCUCACUCGAGCAUACAGACCCGUCAAUCACCUGAGCCUUGCACAAAUUCGUGCAAGGUCAUGAACCCAUCAAGAAAUCAUCUCAUCCGUUUUUCCUUAUUUGCGAUUCUCGCUUAAUAUUCCCUUUCCAAUCACAAAUUCAAAUCGCCUAAAUUCUGAAAACCUAACCUCAGAGAUGAAACUUCAAAUCGUCAUUGAUUUUUCAAAUCCAUGGCAUGUAUUGUUAUUCUUUUUGUUCCUGCACUCCCAGUCCCGUCGUUCUUUCCAUUUUCACCUUUCAAUUUCAAAACACUAGUCGAAGAAAUCAAAGACCAAAGGUGAAACUUCAAACUCGUUUGUUCCUUCCUUUGUUCUUUCAAAUCAAAGCGAGCAGGAAGUAUUAGCUGGCUUCAUCAUCAAUAUUCGACACUUAGAGGUCAAAUGCAAUGACCUCUGGGUAUUAGGUUUUUGACUGAUGGUUUCCUGUGCCUCAACGUUCAAUAAUUCACUCCACUCCAGUACACAGGUAAAAUCAUUACUGGAUUCCCCCUCUGUCUUCCGAAUUUUAACUCGAUUAGCUAUCAUCAUCUACCAUGCGUCACUCUCCACUACUGAUUUUGAAUUCGUAAAACCCUUGAGCAUUGAAUGUUACUAUAAAAGGGGGUCUUUAAUGUUCUUACCAAUACACAAUCUAACACCAACAAACCAGAGCAACCUAAAUUCUGAAAAGUCAUAAACACUAAGAAAUUAGGGUUUUUGGUAAUUAGGUCUCUUACUAUUUUUCCUCUCUUUGCCGAGUUCCUUGCUGGUUCAAGCUUGAAGGUUUUCUAGGAUCUUUGAGCAACAAAGGGAAUUCGUUUGGUCUGCUGCCCUCAAGAAGGUCAGACAUAUUUCUUUCCCCUUUCUUUUAUUUACCUCUCUAAAUAAUUUAGAUAUGUUAUUGUUAAGUUCUGUAGAUCAUAGUUAUGAUGUAUGUGUUGGACAUGUUUGAUAGUCAUAUUUUGUUAGUAUAAUAAUCCUUUACGAGUAGCCUAUUCUAUUAUGAUUCCUUAAGUGACAAUCGAUUAGUUGAGUGAUAACUAUUAGUCUUUGUUCUGAGUUUUUCCUACAGUCUCUAAUCCUAAAGUCUUAUAUGUUUAUGUUCAAUGUAGAUUUCAUAGUUCUCAGUGAAUCAUAAUGAGCUUAUUCCUGUUUUAUUGCACUUUUGUAAUUUUAUGAGUUUUAAAAGCUAAGUGUGUUACUUGGUAGCUAUUGAAACUUGAAUUUGUUCAAGACUUGUGUCAUUUUCUCUAAACCUUAAGUUUGAACUUACAAUGUUCAAGAACUUUCUUGUCUGCCUGUAUUUGUUAAAACUGCUUUUGAAUUAGUACUAUGGUUUUUAUUCUGCUUGAUUACUAUCAUUGAUAAACCAAUCAUGUUCAUAUUCCAUUUCACCAAUAAUAAUGUUAUGAGGUCCACCUCUGCAUAUCAUUUCCCUGCAUUCUAUAUGUUUAUAGUCAGGUUCAUUAUGUGGUAAUCUUAACUGAUAUACCAUAUGUCCAUGUCACUUACCUAAGUUGAAAGAAUAAGAGUACCUAAAUGCUUUCUUCUCUAUAUCUGUACUUGUUAAUUCUAAGAGUGAUAUCUGAGUUGUCACUAGGUACUUUCCCAUGAUAAUGUUCAACUGUUGUAUGCGUAAGAAACUAUCUUACUUAUAUCAAGUUGUUCCUUCCUCAUGAAUCUUUGCUGCAUAUACAUUCUGUAAGAUGAACUAUUUUCCUCUUUUAGUGUAAGUCUUGAUUUGUUUAGACAAAGUCAACUAGUAAUUGUUGCAUAACUAGGUUUGUCUAUUCCAUAAUCAAUGGAGAUCUUAAUACACAUGUGCAGUACAUUCCUGUCCUUAGUCUUUGAUCCCCUGAUGAUUUUUGAAAAAUCUGCAUGCAUCUAUAGUUAACUUAUCUCUCAUGAAGAAAUGUUCUAGGCCUACUGUUAAAACCAAAUGAUAGAAUUGAAGCAUGGUUACUUCAUACCUAUAUGUUGAGCUAGAUUCAUGUUGAGUUUAAACUUGUCUGAUACAAUGUUUUCAUCUCCUUCUCCACUUGCCUAGUAAGUUUGAUUCUGUAAUGUGUAGAGUUUCUAUACCUGUUUGAAGCUACUUCUUCAUUUAUUUUUCCCAUAAGCAGUUGACUGAAAUUUUCUACCCUUUGCUUAAAUCUGCAACACCAUACUCUAUUUUGAAUCAUGCCCAGUCCUUCUUCCUACUGUUGGUCUAAAAUUGGAUUUGACUCUCAAACCUUAUUGAAGUCCAUUUGUUGAUGUUGUUUGAACAUGAUAACUGGCUGAUACUGUUAGAAGCACGAUCUUGUUGAUACCUUAGGGACGCUAUGUUUAAAUAUGUGAGUGUGUAAUCAUGAUAAGAAUUCAGUCCCAUGACCUUGAUUAUAUCUCUGAAAUAAUUGUUGACUAUAACUGACGGUUUGAAUUUGCCUUGAUGUCUUUAAGUUGUUAUGUAAUAUUAUCAAUGCCUAUUUGAAUAUGUUAUGCCUUAGUGAUUCAUUCCUGUAACGAUGUGAUUAUGAAACUGUGUAUAUUCUAAACUUCGCCCCUCUCCUUUUAGUUUUCCUUGAUAUGUUUCCCUAUUUAGUAUCAUAGUAGUAUGUAUUCUCUUGUAUUAUUUUAUUAAGAGGAAAGUAUAUAUGUUGUGGUAGGUAAUACUUUAGUAUUUAGUUUGCAUUGGAAGGGCCUCAUUGGCACUUAAACCCAUAAGGAAAAUAUGUUGUUAGUGAUUAAGGGUAUUUAGGAGCAGAGUUCGACUUUAGGCUGGGCUUCCCUCCCUGGCACAAGCAUUGCCCUGAGCCUUGAGUCCCUUGGGAACUUUGAAGUGUUGGGGGAUCCAAAGGGUGCUUCAACCUUGAGUGGGUUCCCUCCAUAGCUUUUAAUUCUUUUACAUAUUCAGUUCUUUAAGGGUUUAGUGUUUAAUGAUAACAAAAGGUUUCCAAUGUGAAUUAUUUACUAAGUAAAGUGUAACGACCCGGCCGAUCGUUUUGAGAGUUAUAGCUCCAUUCCCCCAUUUACUGCUCAUUUUGUACUUUAUAGCUAUUAUGUGACUUACUGGGAUAGUCGGCUCAAGUACGGAGAUAUUUCAAAAGGAAAUGAUGCACUUAGUCUCAAGGUUGAAAGCUUAAGUUGAAAUGAUUGAUCAGAUAUUGAUCUUUGAGUAAACGACUCCGGAAUGGAGUUUUCAUGGUUCCAUUAGCUUUGUUGGGUAAUUUUGGACUUAGGAGCAUGUCCGGAUUGUUAUUUGGAGGUCCGUAGUAGAAUUAGGCUUGAAAUGGCGAAAGUUGGAUUUUUAAAAAGUUUGACCGGGAGUGGACUUUUUGAUAUCGGGGUCGAAUUCCAAUUCCGGAAGUUGGAGUAGGUCUGUAAUGUCAAAUAUGUCUUGUGUGCAAAAUUUGGGAUCAAUCGGACGUGAUUUGAUAUGUUUCGGCAUCAUUUGUAGAAGUCAGAAUAUUUUAGUUUCAAUAGGCUUGAAUUGGGGUGCGAUUCAUGUUUUUGAAGUUGUUUGAUGUGAUUUAAGGGCUCGACUAAGUUCGUAUGAGGUUUUAGGACUGAUUGGUAUGUUUGGUUAAGGUUCUGGGGGCCUCGGGUUGCUUCCGGAUGGUUAACGGAUCAAAAGUUAAAGUUGAGAGAUUGCUGAAGGCUGGACUCUGCUAGUGUAACCACACCUGCGGAGCUUUGAUCGUCGGUGCAAGUUCGCAUAUGCGAGUUUGUAGGGGAGAGUGUAGGUGGUUGCAGGUGCGAGGCAAUUGCCGCACCUGCGUGACCGCAUAUGCGGCAGGGGGACCGUAGAAGCAGAACUGGGUAGAUGAGCUUGGUCCGCAGAAGCGGCUUGGAUGCUCACAGAAGCUGAGUGAAAGAACGUAGGAGCAGAAAGAGCCGCAUAUACGUGUGAGAUGUUACUUCUGCGAUGCCGCAGAAGCGGUUAAGUUUCUGCAGAAGCGGAAGUGCUGGACAGAACACUUAAAUGCAAGGGUUCAUGAUUUUGCUUCAUUUUAAACAUUUUGAGCUCGGGUUUUGGCGAUUCUUGAGAGGGUUUUCGAGGGUAUUCUUGAGGUAAGUCCCUGUGCUCAUUUUUGAUCAAUAAUCUUGAUUCCCCAUUGAUUUUCCCACCUAGUUGGUGUGUAUUUAAGGUAUAAAUUAGGAGUUUGAGGCUAGGGAUUUGGAGAGUUUGAUUUGGGGAUUUGGGUGACGAUUUGAUGUCGGAUUUUGAUAAAUUUGGUAUGGUUGGACUUGUGGUUGAAUGAGCUUUCAGGUUUUGUGACCUUUAUCAAAUUUCAAGACGUGGGCCCAAGGGCCAGCUUUUUUUACUUUUGAUUAAUGACUUAGCAUUUUCUUAUGGAGUUAAUUCCUUUAGCCCGUAUAGAUUAUAUCGACUUGUUUAUGGCUAGAUUCGAGGCAUUUGGAGGUCAUUUUGCGAGGCAAGAGUGUGUUGGAGUAGAGAUUUGCUCAGAUUGAGAUAAGUAUUAGUUCUAAAUUUGGUUCUGAGGGUUUGGAACCCCGUAUUAUGUGUCAUGUGUUUGAUUUUGAGAUGACGCACAUGCUAGAUGACGGGUGUGUGGGUGUGAACCAUAGGAAUUGUGACUUGGUCAAAUUCCAUGGAACUGUGUAGUUGAAUACUCUGUUGUUAUUUGUACUUUCUCCAUGUAUUAGAGAAAUUAAACCGCAAAUCAUGUUAGAAAUCAUGUUUAGACUAUGUGAUGGCACUGUAGGGACCCACAGAGGUCGUGUACAUGUCGAAUUAUCUGCUAAAUUACUGUUUUGCACCCAAUCAUAGUUUUACUUGUAUAUUACAUCUCAGUCUCUAUUGUUCAUUAUUGACGCAUUAUAUCAUUGCUUUUUGGGCUACUUAUCAUGAUUUCUGAGAGCCCGAGAGACUGGAGAGGUUAAUGACUGAGUGAGGCCGAGGGCCUGAUUGUGAGGAUAUUUAUGGGAUCGAGAUGCACGCCGCAACAUGUUUCACGAAUAUACGCCAUGAUUGGCUUGUUAUAGUGAUUGGGUUGAAGGAUCCCCUCCGGAGUUUGUAUACACCCCCAGUGAGUGCAGGUACCUACCGAGUGCCGAGUGCCAAGUCCCGAAUGCCGAGUGCUGAGUGAUUGAGAGGAAUGAGUGACUGUGAGGAAAGAAUGAUUGUGAGGUUGGAGUGAAUGGGAGGACUGAGUGACUGUUGCUCUGAGAGGAUGCAUUGACUUCGUUAUGUUUGCACUUCAGCUGUCAUAUAUCACUGUCUUGAAGUUUUUGAGAGAUAUUAUCUUCUAUUUCAGUUGAACUUGACAUGAAUUUACUGUUUUGGUCUUAAUUGUCGAACUUGAAAGCAUGCCUACCUUCCUAUGUUGAAAUUAAUAUAAUUGGACUAUAAUUGUGAAGCUCGUCACUACUUUCAGUUCUUUAUUUAGUAUUGUUACUUUCUGAGUUGGUUGUACUCACGCUACACCCUGCACUUCGUGUACAGAUCCAGGUGUUUUCGGAUACGGUGGGUGUUGAUUCCAGCGCACAGUUAAUAUUUUGGAGAUUUCAAGGUAGUUGCUCGGCGUUUCGCAGACCUUGUCUCUCCUUCCCUAUCUUUUCGCUUAUUGUAUUUAGUUUUAGACUAUCAUAGACAGUAUUUUCCAGACUUGUGAUGUAUAGAUGCUCAUGUACUCUGUGACACCCUGAUAGUUGGGAACUUCCGCGUUGUGUUUUGGGUUUCUAUGAGAACUUUUUUGGUUUAAGCUGCUUUAAUUCGUUUUCUGUUAAAAGUGUUGGGAGUAUUUUAAAAUGCCGGCUUGCCUAAUACCACGUUAGGCGCCAUCACGACAUGUUAGGAUUUUGGGUCGUGACAAGUUGGUAUUAGAGCCUAGGUUACAUAGGUCUCACGAGGCAUGAGCAGGUUUAGUAGAGUCUUGCGGAUCGAUACGGAGAUGUCUGUACUUAUCUUCGAGAGAUUGUCGAACCCUUAGGAAAAUUCAUAUUCUUGUAUUCUUGUAGUGCGGAUUUGUUGGCUUCGGUAACUAAACUUUUAUAUUCUAUUAUCUCAUAAAUGAUGAGGACACGUGCUACCGGACAAGAUGGAUAGCCACCAGUACCACCGACUAGGGCCACGAGAGGUCGAGGUCGCGGUAGGGGCAGAGGUAUAGCUCGUGUAGCAGCUAGAGAAGCACCUGCAAAUCCACCAGUUGCUCCAGCUCAGGAGCAGGUUCCAGAUGUGGCUGAGCCAGCGGGGACAACUCAGGCGCCAGCUGUGCCCAUUGUGAUUCCAUGCCUUCAAAAAGCUUUGGCCCAGAUAUUGAUUGUUUGCACUGACCUUGCUCAGGUGGUUUCGGCUCAGGUCAUACCAGCCGCUUCUCAUGCCGAGGGAGGUACUCAUACCUCCGCUGCCCGUACUCUAAAGCAGGUAAUGCAGGGACUUCAAACCCCGGCGGUACUACCAACCUAGUCGGUUGCAGCUGCUCAGGCCCGGGUGGUCCCCGUUAUGACUGAUGAUGAGCAGAUGAGACUUGAGAGGUUUGGGAAACUUCAGCCUCUAUCAUUUAGCGGUGCUGAGUCAGAGGAUGCCCAGGGUUUCUUGGAUAGGUGCCAGCAGAUUCUUCACACUACGGGUAUUCUAGAGACCAGUGGGGUCUCGUUCACUACUUUUCAGUUCACUGGGGCUACCUUCAGAUGGUGGGAGGAUUAUGAGAGGCGCAUGCCGGUCAGUGCAGCACCACUUACAUGGAAGGAGUUCUCCGUUCUCUUCUUGGAGAUGUUCGUGCCGCAGUCUCGUAGGGAGGAGCUGCGCGGACAGUUUGAGCAGUUACGUCAGGAGGUCAUGUCUGUGACACAGUGUGAGAUGAGGUUUUUUGGGUUAGCUCGUCACGCGGUUGGUUGGUUUCCACUGAUAGGGAAAGGAUUCAGAGGUUCAUUAAUGGCCCCACAUAUCAGUUGCGGUUUCUUAUGACUCGGGAGAGGGUGUCUAGUGCUACUUUUGACGAGGUGGUUGACAUUGCUCGGUAGAUAGAGAUGGUCCAUAGCCAGGAGUGUGGAGAGAUGGAGGCCAAGAGGCCUCGUGGAUCAGGUGGUUGCAGCGGUGUUUCUUCUAGAGGUCAGUUCUACCACGGCAGUGGCCAUCCUUAUAGGCACGCUCAGACAGUUCGUCCGGUUCAUCGUGGUACAUCUAGCCAUGGUUCAUAUAGUUAUCAUCAGGGUCAGUCAUCUCUCAGUGCCCUUCCAGCUCAAAGUUCGUUCCGUGCUCCAUCGGCUCAGGGUUCAUCUAUGUCGGGUCCUUAUAGUAGUUAUCCCGGUGCUCGGGGAUCCCUUCAGUCCCCCACAACCAGCACUGGGGAGUUUCUUUGAGUGUGGGGAGUUUGGGCAUAUGUGGAGGCAGUGUCCUCAUCGCCCAGAAGGUCUAGUGCAUCAGAGGAGUCAGGUUGCGACUUCAGCACCAGUUACUUUACCACCCGCCCAGCCAGCUCGGGGUAGGGCUCAGUCAACUAGGGGUCUCCUAAGAGGGGGAGGCCAAUCAGGUAGAGGCUAGGCCUGAUUCUAUGUUAUUCCUUCCAGGCCAGAUGUUGUUUCUUCCGAUGCAAAGAUCAGAAGUAUUGUCUCAAUAUGCCACAGGUAUGCCUCUGUAUUAUUUGACCCUGGUUCCACUUAUUCGUAUGUAUCAUCGUGUUUUGCUCAUUAUCUAGAUAUGCCCCGUGAGUCCUUAGUUUCAUCUGUUCAUGUAUCUAGGCCAGUGGGCGAUACUAUUGUUGUGUACCGUGUAUAUCGGUCGUGUAUAGUGACUAUUGGGGGAUUGGAGAGUAGAGUUGAUCUCUUAUUGUUUACUAUGGUGGACUUCGACGUGAUCUUGGGUAUGGAUUAGUUGUCUCUAUGUCAUGCUAUUCUGGAUUGUCACACUAAGACCGUGACGUUGGCGAUGCCGGGAUUGCCGAGGAUUGAGUGGGGAGGUUCUCUAGACUAUGUUCCCAGUAGAGUGAUUUCAUAUUUGAAGGCCCGACGGAUGGUUUGGAAGGCUUGUUUAUCUUAUUUGGCUUUGUCAGGGAUGUUGGUGCUGAUACUCCUGCUAUUGAUUCUGUUCCGGUGGUGAGAGAUUUUUCGGAUGUAUUUCCAGCAGACUUGCCGGGCAUGCCGCCCGACAGGGAUUUUGACUUCGGUAUUGACUUGGUGCCGGGAACUUAGCCCAUUUCUAUUCCACUGUAUCGUAUAGCACUGACUGAGUUGAAGGAAUUGAAGGAGAAGCUUCAGGAACUUCUUGAUAAGGGGUUUAUUAGGCCUAGUGUGUCGCCUUGGGGUGCACUGGUUCUGUUUGUGAAGAAAAAGGAUGGUACUAUGCGGAUGUGCAUUGAUUACAACAGUUGACCAAAGUUACAAUCAAGAACAAGUAUCCUUUGCCGCGCAUUGAUGAUCUAUUUGACCAGCUUCAGGGAGCGAGGGUGUUCUCUAAGAUUGACUUGAGGUUUGGGUAUCACCAGUUGAAGAUUCGGGACUCGGAUAUUCUAAAGACAGUAUUCAGGACCCAUUAUGGUCAUUAUGAGUUCCUCGUAAUAUCUUUUGGGCUGACCAACACCCAAGCAACAUUCAUGCAUCUGAUGAACAGUGUAUUUUAGCCUAAUCUUGACUCGUUUGUCAUAAUGUUCAUUGAUGAUAUCCUGGUGUACUCUUGUAGCCAGGAGCAGCAUGCCUAGCAUUUUAGGAUUGUGUUGCAGCGGUUGAGGGAGGAGAAGCUUUAUGCCAAGUUCUCCAAGUGUGAGUUUUGGCUUAGUUCAGUAGAAUUCUUAGGGCACGUGGUGUCCAGUGAGGGGAUUUAGGUGGAUCCAAAGAAGAUAGAGGCGAUUUAGAGUUGGCCCAGACCGUCCUCAGCCACAGAGAUUCGGAGCUUUCUCAGCUUGUCCGGUUAUUAUCAUCGCUUAGUGGAGGGUUUCUCGUCUAUUGUAUCGCCCUUGACCAAAUUGACCCAAAAGGGUGUUAUUUUCAUGUGGACGGAUGGGUGUGAGGAGAGCUUUCAGAAUCUCAAGACUGCCUUGACCACAGCUAUAGUUCUAGUUCUACACCUUCAGCUUCUGGUUCUUAUACAGUGUAUUGUGAUGCUUCUCGGAUUGGUAUUGGAUGUCUGUUGAUGUAGGAGGGUAAAGGGAUUGCUUAUGCUUCGCGCCAGUUGAAUAUUCAUGAGAAGAACUACCAUGUCCAUGAUUUGGAGUUAGCUGCCAUCAUUCAUGCAUUGAAGAUUUUAGAGGCAUUAUCUCUACGGUGUGUCUUGUGAGGUGUUUACAGAUCAUCGGAGUCUCCGGCAUUUGUUCAAAUAGAAGGAUCUAAAUUUGAGGCAACGGAGAUGGUUGGAUUUGCUAAAGGACUAUGAUAUCACUAUUCUGUAUCAACCCGGGAAGGCUAACGUGGUAGCCGAUGCCUUGAGUAUAAAAAUGGUAAGUAUGGGUAGCCUUGCAUUCAUUCCUGUUGGUGAGAGACCUCUUGUAGUUGAUGUUCAGGAUUUGGCCAACCAGUUCCUGAGAUUAGAUGUCUCGGAGCCCAGUUGGGUUCUAGCUUAUGUGGUUUCUUGGUCUUCCUUAUAUGAUCGCAUCAGAGAGUGCUAGUAUGAUGAUCCCCAUUUUCUUGUCCUUAAGGACACGGUUCAGCACGGUGAUACCAGAGAUGUUACUAUUGGGGAUGAUGGGGUAUUAAGGAUGCAAGGUUGGAUUUGUGUGCCUAAUGUGGAUGGGCUACGUGAGUUUAUUCUUGAGGAGGUCCACAGUUCGCGGUAUUCCAUUCAUCCGGGUGCCGCGAAGAUGUAUCAGGACUUGAGGAAGCAUUAUUGGUAGAGGAGAAUGAAGAAGGAUAUAGUGGGGUUUGUAGCUCGGUGCCUCAACUGUCAGCAGGUGAAGUAUGAGCAUUAGAGACCGAGUGGAUUGCUUCAGAGGUUAGAGAUUCCAGAGUGGAAAUGGGGAGCGGAUNNNNNNNNNNNNNNNNNNNNNNNNNAAUUAUGGAUCGGCUGACCAAGUACGCACACUUUAUUCCAGUUGGGACUACUUAUUCUUCAGAGCGAUUGGCCGAGAUUUACAUCCGAGAGAUUGCUCGCCUUCACGGUAUGCCAGUGUCCAUCAUUUCAGAUCAAGGCACGCAGUUUACAUCGUCGUUUUGGAGAGCCAUACAACGAGAGUUGGGCAACCAAGUUGAUUUGAGCACAUCAUUUCACCCUUAGACGGACGGAUAGUCCGAGCGCACUAUUUAGAUAUUGGAGGACAUGCUACGUGCUUGUGUCAUCGAUUUUGGGGGUUCUUGGGAUCCGUUUCUACCGCUAGCGGAGUUUGCCUCCAACAACAGCUACCAGUCGAGCAUUCAGAUGACUCCGUAUGAUCCUUUGUAUGGGAGACGGUUUAGAUCUCCGGUGGGUUGGUUUGAGUCGGGUGAGGCUAGGCUAUUGGGUACUGACUUGGUUCAGGAUGCUUUGGACAAGGUUAAAUUGAUUCAGUAGCGGCUUUGCACGACACAGUCUAGACAAAAGAGUUAUGCCGACAGGAAGGUCCGUGAUGUUGCAUACAUGGUUGGGGAGAAGGUUCUGCUCAAGGUUUCACUCAUGAAGGGUGUUAUGAGGUUCGGGAAGAAGGGCAAGUUGAGCCCUCGGUAUAUUGGGCCGUUUGAGGUACUUCAGAGGAUUGGGGAGGUGGCUUACAAGCUUGCCUUUCCACCCAGAUUGUCGAGUGUGCAUCCGGUGUUUCAUGUUGCUAUGCUCCGGAAGUAUGUCGGCGAUCCGUUUCAUAUUUUGGAUUUCAGCACAGUUCAAUUGGAUGGUGAGUUGACUUAUGAUGUGGAGCCGGUGGCCAUUUUGGAUCGGCAGGUUCGAAAGUUAAGGUCUAAGGACAUAGCUUCAGUGAAGGUACAGUGGAGAGGUCAGCCAGUCGAGGAGGCUACUUGGGAGACUGAGUGGGAAAUGCGGAGCAGAUAUCCACACCUAUUUGAUACUCCAGGUACAUUUCUAGACCCAUUCGAGGAUGAACGUUUGUUUAAAAGGAGGAGGAUGUAACGACCUGGCCGGUCGUUUUGAGAUUUAUAGCCCCGUUUCCCUCAUUUACUGCUUAUUUUGUACUUUAUAGCUAUUAUGUGACUUGUCGGGGUAGUCAGUUCGGGUCCAGAGAGAGUUCAGAAUGAAAUGAGACACUUAGUCUCAAGGUUGAAAGCCUAAGUUGAAAUGAUUGACCGGAUGUUGAUCUAUGAGUAAACGAUUCCGGAAUGGAGUUUUAAUGGUUCUGUUAGCUCCGUUGGGUUAUUUUGGACUUAGGAAAGUGUCUGUAUUGUGAUUUGGAGAUCCGUAGUGGAAUUAGGCUUGAAAUGGCGAAAGUUGAAUUUUUGGAAAGUUUGACCGGGAGUAGACUUUUUGAUAUCGGGGUCGGAUUCCGAUUCUAGAAGUUGGAGUCGGUCCGUAAUGUCAAAUGUGACUUGUGUACAAAAUUUGGGGUCAAUCGGACGUGAUUUGAUAGGUUUCGGCGUCGUUUAUAGAAGUUGAAAUUCCUUAGUUUCAAUAGGCUUGAAUUGGGGUGUUAUUCAUGUUUUUGAAGUUGUUUGAUGUGAUUUGAGGGAUCGACUAAGUUCGUAUGAGGUUUUAGGACUGGUUGGUAUGUUUGGUUGAGGUUCAGGGGGCCUCGGGUUGAUUCCGAAUGGUUAAUGGAUCAAAAGUCGAAGUUCAGAGAUUGCUAAAGGAUGGACUCUACUGGUGUAACCGCACCUGCAGAGCUUUGAUCGCCGGUGCGAGCUCGCAGGUGCAGACUGGAACGCACAGGUGCGAGUUUGGAGGGGAGUGUGUAGGUGGCCACAAAUGCGAGGUAAUUGCCGCACCUGCGUGACCUCAGAUGUGGUAGGGGGACCGCAAAAGCGGAACUGGGCAGGUGAGCUUGGUCCACAGAAGCGGCUUGGAUGCUCGCAGAAGCGGAGUGAAGGAACGCAAGAGCGGAAGGAGCCGCAUAUGCAUGUGAGAUGUCGCUUCUGUGAUACUGCAGAAGCGGUUAAGUUUCCGCAGAAGCAGAAGUGCUGGACAAAACACUUAAAUGCAAGGGUUCGCUACUUUGCUUCAUUUUAAAUAUUUUGAGCUCGGGUUUUGGCGAUUCUUGAGAGGGUUUUCGAGCGGAUUCUUAAGGUAAGUCCCUGUGCUCAUUUUUUUAUCAAUAAUCUUGCUUCCCCAUUGAUUUUCCCACCUAGUUAGUGUGUAUUUAAGGUGUAAAUUGGGAGUUUGAGGCUAGGGAUUUGGAGAGUUUGAUUUGGGGAUUUGGUGUCGGAUUUUGAUAAAUUUAGUGUGGUUGGACUCAUGGUUGAAUGGAAUUUCGGGUUUCGUGACCUUUAUCGAAUUUCGAGACGUGGUCCCGGGGCCGGCUUUUAAGUCGAUUUUUUAAUUUUUAUUAAUGAAUUAGCAUUUUCUUAUUGAGUUGAUUCCUUUAGCCCGUAUAGAUUAUAUACGGGCUAAAUUGUUUAUGGCUAGAUUCGAGGCGUUCGAAGGCCAUUUCGCGAGGCAAGGUUGUGUUGGAGUAGAGAUUUGCUCGGAUUAAGGUAAGUAACAGUUCUAAAUUUGGUUCUAAGGAUACGAAACCCCGUAUUAUAUGUCAUGUAUUUGGUUUUGGGGUGACGCACAUGCUAGGUGACGGGCGUGUGGGCAUGCACCGUAAGAAUUGUGACUUGGUCAAAUUCCAUGGAACUAUGUAGUUGAAUACUCUGUUGUUAUCUGUACUUUCUCCAUGUAUUAGAGAAAUUGAACAACAAAUCAGGUUAGAAAUCAUGUUUAGACUAUGUGAUAGCACUGUAGGGACCCACAGAGGUCGUGUACAUGUCGAAUUAUCUGCUAAAUUACUGUUUUGCACUCAGUCAUAGUUUUACUUGUAAAUUACAUCUCAGUCUCUAUUGUUUAUUAUUGAUGCAUUAUAUCAUUGCUUUUUGGGCUACUUAUCAUGAUUUCUGAGAGCCCGAGAGACUGGAGAGGUUGAUGACUGAGUGAGGCCGAGGGCCUGAUUGUGAGGAUAUUUAUGGGAUCGGGCUGUACGCCGCAACAUGUUUCACUGAUAUAUGCCAUGAUUGGCUUGUUAUAGCGCUUGGACUGAAAGAGCCCCUCCAGAGUCUGUACAUACCCCCAGUGAGGACUGGUACCUAUUGAGUGUGAGUGCUGAGUGAUUGAGAGGAAUGAGUGACUGUGAGGAAAGAGUGAUUCUGAGGUUGGAGUGAAUGGGAGGACUGAGUGACUGUUGCUCUGAGAGGAUGCAUUGACUUCAUUAUUUUGCAAUUCAGCUGUCAUAUAUCACUGUCUUGAAAUUUCUGAGAGAUAUUAUCUUAUGUUUUAUUUGAACUUGAAAUGAAUUUACUGUUUUGGUCUUAAUUGUCAAACUUGAAAGUAUGCCUAACUUCCUAUGUUGAAAUUAAUGUAAUUGGACUAUAACUGUGAAGGUCGUCACUUCUUUCAGUCCUUUAUUUAGUAUUGUUACUUACUGAGUUAGUUGUACUCACGCUACACCCUGCACUUCGUGUGCAGAUCCAGGUGUUUGCGGACACGGUGUGUGUUGAUUCCAUCACACAGUUGAUCUUUUGGAGAUUUCAAGGUAGUUGCCCGGCGUUUCGUAGACCUUGUCUCUCCUUUCCUAUCUUUCCGCUUAUUGUAUUUAGUUUCAGACUAUCAUAGACAGUAUUUUCCAGACUUGUGAUAUAUAGAUGCUCAUGUACUCUGUGACACCCCGAUAGUUAGGAACUUUCGCGUUGUGUUUUGGGUUUCUAUCCCUAUUUAUGAGAACCUUUAUUGUUUAAGCUGCUUUAAUUCAUUUUCUGUUAUAAGCCAGCUCUAUUACACCGCGUCGAGGGGUCUAAAGCCAGCUAUGUUCGCUUUUCUUUACUUCUGGGCCUAUCUUCUUGAGGCCCAAUCCCAGAGUCCAAUCCUCUUUCUCUCAACUUUUUAUCAUUAUUACUGCCUCGUUAAUUUAGUUUACCG